This 253-nucleotide ribosomal RNA is filed under the name uncultured bacterium. RNAcentral's name for it is "partial 16S ribosomal RNA". It matches the Rfam family "Bacterial small subunit ribosomal RNA", at positions 524 to 776 of the family's 1533-position model. The record is from RNAcentral.
UACGGAGGGUGCAAGCGUUGUUCGGAAUUACUGGGCGUAAAGCGCGCGCAGGCGGUUUGCUAAGUCAGAUGUGAAAGCCCAUGGCUCAACCAUGGACGUGCAUUUGAAACUGGCAGACUUGAGUAGUGGAGGGGGUGGUGGAAUUCCCGGUGUAGAGGUGAAAUUCGUAGAUAUCGGGAGGAAUACCGGUGGCGAAGGCGGCCACCUGGCCACAUACUGACGCUGAGGCGCGAAAGCGUGGGGAGCAAACAGG